GAUAAACGCUGGCGGCGUGCUUAACACAUGCAAGUCGAACGAAGUUUUUCCUUCGGGAGAAUCUUAGUGGCGGACGGGUGAGUAACGCGUGGGUAACCUGCCCUGUACAGGGGGACAACAGCUGUAAACGGCUGCUAAUACCGCAUAAGCCCUUAGCACUGCAUGGUGCAUAGGGAAAAGGAGCAAUCUGGAACAGGAUGGACCCGCGUCUGAUCAGCCAGUUGGCAGGGUAACGGCCUACCAAAGCGACGAUCAGUAGCCGAUCUGGGAGGGUGUACGGCCACAUUGGAACUGAGACACGCCCCAGACUCCGGCGGGAGGCAGCAGUGUGGAAUAUUGCACAAUAGAGGAAACUCGGAUGCAGCGGCGCCGCGUGAGUGAAGAAGUAUUUCGGUAUGUAAGGCUCUAGCAGCAGGGAAGAAAAGGACGGUACCAGACUAGGAAGCACCGGCUAAAUACGU
RNAcentral lists this ribosomal RNA (461 nucleotides) under uncultured bacterium. RNAcentral describes it as "partial 16S ribosomal RNA". It matches the Rfam family "Bacterial small subunit ribosomal RNA", at positions 28 to 506 of the family's 1533-position model. The record is from RNAcentral.